Molecule: ribosomal RNA, 253 nt
Filed under: uncultured bacterium
Lineage: Bacteria
Description: partial 16S ribosomal RNA
Rfam family: Bacterial small subunit ribosomal RNA
Source: RNAcentral
CACGUAGGGCGCAAGCGUUGUCCGGAAUUAUUGGGCGUAAAGAGCUCGUAGGCGGUCUGUUGCGUCCGCUGUGAAAACCCGGGGCUUAACCCUGGGCUGGCAGUGGAUACGGACAGACUAGAGGUAGGUAGGGGAGAAUGGAAUUCCCGGUGUAGCGGUGAAAUGCGUAGAUAUCGUAAGGAAGACCAGUGGCGAAGGCGGGUCUCUGGACAGCUCCUGACGCUGAGGCACGAAGGCCAGGGGAGCAAACGGG